GGUCGGAAAAUCAAUACCAGAACACAAAUAUUCCCAUUCUUGAAAUUUCAAGCAUUCUUCUAUCUCAAAACCCUCACUUUUCAGAAAAUCAAAAUCUAUCUUUCUUCUGAUUGUAAUAGUCCUAGAAGAGAAAUGGACCAACCUUUUUGACCUAAAAGAAGAUGAAGAUGGUGAAGAGGUCGGAGGAGAGGACUGAGUGGGGGC
This 204-nucleotide long non-coding RNA is filed under the name Elaeis guineensis (African oil palm). RNAcentral describes it as "long non-coding RNA (EGUI_LNC058003)". The record is from RNAcentral. Lineage: Eukaryota; Viridiplantae; Streptophyta; Magnoliopsida; Arecales; Arecaceae.